Molecule: unclassified non-coding RNA, 593 nt
Filed under: Hevea brasiliensis (rubber tree)
Lineage: Eukaryota; Viridiplantae; Streptophyta; Magnoliopsida; Malpighiales; Euphorbiaceae
Source: RNAcentral
GUCAGUGCAGAACUCUAUGGGAAAGAUGUUAUCAACCUUAAAGAUAUUAUCAAGGAUUUGUAUAAGAACUCUGACUUCAAACCUUCACUUGUAGCACCUGGAGGAUUUUAUAACCAGCAGUGGUAUGCUAAGUUUCUUCAGGUUUCAGGUCCAGUCUUGACUCAUCAUAUAUACAACUUAGGUGCAGGUGUCGAUCCCAACCUCACAAAUAAGAUAUUAGAUCCCCAUUAUUUGAGCAAGAUAUCAGAAACAUUCAGUGGUCUNAUUCAACAGAAUGGUCCUUGGGCUUCUGCAUGGGUUGGAGAAUCUGGUGGGGCCUAUAACAGUGGUGGUCGUCAUGUGUCAAAUACAUUUAUCAACAGCUUUUGGUACUUAGAUCAGCUCGGAAUGGGGGCCAAGUACCAUACUAAAGUGUAUUGCAGGCAAACAUUAAUCGGUGGAAACUAUGGUCUUCUGAAUACAACUACAUUUGUACCCAAUCCUGACUACUACAGUGCCCUUCUCUGGCAUCGGCUUAUGGGGAAAGGUGUUCUACCUGUUGGCAGCGAUGCUUCACCGUAUCUACGUGCUUAUGCCCAUUGCUCAAAAGGACG